This 322-nucleotide long non-coding RNA is filed under the name Homo sapiens (human). RNAcentral describes it as "HSALNT0042531". Lineage: Eukaryota; Metazoa; Chordata; Mammalia; Primates; Hominidae. The record is from RNAcentral.
AGGCUGCGCCCUGCUUAAUGCCUGAUGAUCUGAGGCAAAGUUGGACAUCCCAAAGAUGGCAUAGAUAAACAUGACCAGGAAGAGCAGGAGGCCGAUGUUAAACAACGCAGGAAGGGACAUCAUCAAAGCAAAGAGCAGCGUGCGGAUCCCCUUUGCUCCUUUGAUCAGACGUAGGAUUCGGCCAAUCCUGGCAAGACGGAUCACUCGGAACAAGCACUUUCUUAUGCAAGGAGCUAAACAGUGAUUAAAGGAGCAGGAUGAAAAGAUGGCACAGUCAGUGCUGGUACCGCCAGGACCUGACAGCUUCCGCUUCUUUACCAGG